This is a long non-coding RNA of Cyprinus carpio carpio, 1686 nucleotides long. Lineage: Eukaryota; Metazoa; Chordata; Actinopteri; Cypriniformes; Cyprinidae. The record is from Ensembl.
CUCCGUUUAAACAGCCACUGAAACCCUUUGGUGGUUUGUGUGUGUGUGUGUGUGUGUGUGAGGGGGAGGGGAAUGUGCUGCUUUAAAUGUUUGAGCGAUAACAAAGCAAUGCUUCCAUGAGGUCAUGUGUUGCUGACAGGGCCUGUGGUUUAACUGGGUGGGGAUUUUUCUUUUGGACUUCCCUUAAUGUGCUCAUAUAUCUACUGCUGGCCCAGUUUUUCUGGCUCUCUCACUUUCUCACUUUCACAGUAACUGUAAAAGCUGCGGUUAAGCAACAACCAUGAGGCUGUUCUGAGGCAUACAUGUCACCCAUAGGUGUUUUUUUUUUUUUUUUUUCUCGUUUAUUGGAGAUGAAACUAGAUCAAGAUAAGGCACCGUCCUACACAAAAGUGCAUAUGGGUCGCAUGAAUAAUGGAUAUGUGGCUUGAACUCCCGCUGAACUCCCACAGCUUUGUCAAAUGGAGAUCUACAGCAAACCUGCACACCCAUUAAUACAUAUCCUUCAUUGUGCUGUUGUGGCCGUUCAUUCAUGCGUUCUGUGUGUCUGUCACAGCUCUGGGUGCGGCCGAUCGGCUGACACACUCAAACAAGGUACGCUUUGUUCAACCCCGUGGUGUUUGUGGUCGUGUACAUCUAAUGAGGUUAGAUAAACCCUCUACACUGACCUGAGACCUGGGAGAAAGGUGACUGGAGUUAAUGUGUAACACAGGUUUACGUGUGUAACACAGGUUUACGUGUUCUUUGACUUCGACCUGUGAAACCAGUUUUUGGUGAUUUAUAAUAUUUACAAAUAAAUAAUGUUUAAAUUAAUAAAUACUAAUGACAGUAAAUAUGUGCAGAAAAAUAUUCAUAUAUAUUAUUCACAUCUUAUUAUAUAUAUUAUUUGUAUUUUAUGUUUUAAAUAUUAUUUAUUAUGCAUUUAUAUUUAAUUUUAUUUAUUGUAUUUUGAAAUGAACUGAAAUGAAUUGUAAUGGAGGGAACCAAAUCAAGCCAUAUCUAAAGAGCAGAAUAUCAUUGAAAUGUACGGCUGAAUAAGACUCAGAUGUUUAGGUUGUAGACUGAACUUUGCUUGUGUUAUCAUCAUAAACAGAGUUAGCGAUCAUGUGAGCUGGUCUGGAGUCACAAAGCAGCGCUGACAGUCUGGCAGGAAGCACAUUAGACAUUGAGCUGUUGCUGAUGCCUUUAUCUCGAUGCAAACUAGUCCACAUUAAGUGUAGAAAAAGUGCCUCGGGUCUGAUGCCACGAGUCCAAUGCGGUCUUUUAAGGUCAGACUCUGUCUGUCUGCCGUCCCUGAUGAGCAUGUUUGCUGCCAAAGGGCGAGGCACUUCCAACAUUGUUUAACAUACAAAAGUAAACAAAAUUGUCUAUAAAAUUAUCAUAAUUAUGCCUAUAUAUUGGCGACUGUAAGGUGUUUUCAAAAUUGUCUUUGAAAGAAGUCUCUUCUGUUCAAGGCUGCAUUUAUUUUAUCAAAAGGUACAGUAAAAUCAGUAAUAUUGUGAAAUAUUAUUGCAGUUUAAAAUGAUUGUUUUCUUUGUAAAUAUACUGUAAAAUGUAAUUUAUUUUUGUGAUGCGCAGCUGAAUUUUCAGCAUCAUUACUCCAGUCUUCAGCGUCACAUGAUUCUUCAGAAAUCAUUCUAAUAUGAUGAUUUGCUUCAGUUUGGAACAGCUUCAUAUUUUUAUGGAAAC